AUGGAGAUUGACUGCUUGGAGCUAGUUGAUCUAUGGCAUUCGCGCGGCAACACCAGAUCAGUUGCAGCGCCUAUCUUAAAUGAACUGGAGGAAAUUGGUGCUUCGUUUGCUUCUUUAUCUGUCACGCAUGUCAGCAGGGAGGCCAACGUACCGGCGCAUUAGUGUGCUCGCCUAGCUAGUACACUCGAUGGAACUGAGAGUUGGCUUGAUGUAAGCCCUGUUUUUUUAGCCUCUUGCCUAAGGGCGGAUUGUAAAACUAUGAUUCUAAGUUAA
RNAcentral lists this ribosomal RNA (273 nucleotides) under Triticum aestivum (bread wheat). Its description in RNAcentral is "partial small subunit ribosomal RNA". The record is from RNAcentral. Lineage: Eukaryota; Viridiplantae; Streptophyta; Magnoliopsida; Poales; Poaceae.